Danio rerio (zebrafish) is the source of this 2244-nucleotide non-coding RNA. Lineage: Eukaryota; Metazoa; Chordata; Actinopteri; Cypriniformes; Danionidae. The record is from RefSeq and is a predicted model, not a curated record.
UCAACCCUAAAAACUGUUGCACUACAUUUGUUUGCUUGUUUGAUUCGUAGUUUACAGUUGUUCAUUCAGGGGAGUCAGUCAAUCAUGAUUUUAUACUUACUGUAUAAAAAGUGCUGUUGCAUGUACUACAGAUGAUAUGUAUCACUAUUCUCUCUCUCUCUCAGUUUCCCUUCAUAGGCGUUUUUCUAUUACAGAUAGCAGCAACUUCAAACCUCACCUGGAAAUGAUGGGGGAAUGUGGUGGAGGUGUUCGAUAUAGCCUCAGGCUGAUUCUUUCUUAUUUCUUUAUUUCUGUCCUUUGCACCGUUCUCCAGAACAGGGCGACACAGAUCCACUGAUUGGUGGAGUUUGGAUCAGAAGACAAGCUAAGCAUUCACGAGCAGAGAACAUUCGGCUCCUCUAUCAUCCGCCACAUACUUGACCCGCAGUAACUCCGCUUUGACAGAGCAUCACAGGCUUUCUGUGUAAGACAGGGCCUUGUUUUAGGAAAAUGUGAUUAUGAAAGACAUCAAAUCGUAGAUGUCCUGGCUCUCUCUCUCUCUUUUUUAGCUUUGUUGAAGGCGGCUGACAGAAGCCAGCUUCUGGUUACGUUUUGCGAACUGUCACUCUCCCCUAAGAUAACACCCCUGCACAGAGGCUUGGAAAUGCCAAGGUUCAAGUUUACAAUUUAAAAGUUUAAAUGCAGAACCACGGGUCACCGAGGGCCACAGUAAAGGUCAGUGCCAUGACGACGGCUGUUGGAUAUUGUUCAGCCCCUCGAGUUACACGUUCUAUCUUUAUCUCGCCUUUCUUUCUCAUUUCUGGCAUAUUCGAACUAGAAGUCUGUUCAAAUAAAAACAAUGAUUUCAUAGCAGGUCUUUGCAAUUUCUCAGAUGAGUAAUAUGUUAUUUGCAGAGAAAGCUGUGCAUGAGGGUGUUUCUGAUUCUCAGCGUUCUUACCAGAAGCUGAACCGUAAUUAUGGAAUAGGCAAUUCAGCGUGAUCGUCCCACUGUGCGAUCUUCUGAGUGAGCAUAGCAGGAGACAUGAAGACACCUGUGUCUCAGCAGGGACUGGACCUCCUCUCUUCAUUCCCGUCCUCUCUUUCUGAAAUGACAUGAAAACAUUUGAAUAAAUCUGUUUCGUACACAUAUAGGAUGAUUAACCAUCGGUGCCUCCGCAGCCUUUAAAAGCAAAGCAUAUUGGCUGGAGUCUGUGCCAAGGCGCAUCGCUCUCCCCCUUCUCCCCCUUCCGGGCCUCGACGGUUAUGCUCUUUCCCUGCAGGGGGCCCUGGAGCCGGUCUUGUCCUGACACCGCAAACAUAUGUAAGGACACCUGAGCUACGGCCUCCAGCCUCCCGCCACCAAGGGUUAAUUUUCCACCCAGCCGCGCGGCAGCCAGACUUGGCCAAGUUUCCUGUCGCCCACAGUGCACCACAAGCUGUGUUUGGGAGCCAGCAAACAACAUUAAUCCUGCCCCUAUGACGGAUCGCAUAUGCAAAAUGUCCGCCACCCUACGCGUUCACACAGUCAGGCAGGUACGGGGACAGGAAGGAAAGACGACGUAGUUGGACAGAGAGGAAGAGAGAUUACGGGAAAGGAGGAGGAGGAGGGAGAGCGCAGACUGUACUUCAUCACACCACUGGAAGUUUCAAUCUUCCUUUUGUCUUUAACAUUUCAGGUGCCGAUGUGUGCGAUGCCAGGAAAGGUCAGGAGAUGAUUUACUGAACAUUUAUGGAGGCUUUAUCUUCAGUCCUUGUCACCAAGUCGGGCGAUGCUUCAUAGAGGGUCGCCAAAACAGACGUGGAAAAAAGAGAGCGUGACAACACCGCAACCCCAGAGUUCCGCAAUGACACAGUCUUUAACCAGCCCAACUCUUGGCAGGUACAGAACACUAAAGGACCAUUUUAUUUCUAAAUGAGUCUGAAUGGCGCUCCACAAAGACUGGAAAUGCUGCUGCCCUUUCAUUUUAAAUGGCUAUCGGGUUCAUCCAGCACAUAAAACUCAUCACCGAAAAUGAAUAGAAGCGGUUGGAGAAGAGACUGGAGAUGUGAACUGUCCCUCUGGAACGAGCUGCCAUUAAGUUUACUAAAAAUGUCUGAUGGUUUCGCCCAGACAGUUAGGAAAGCUGUGUCUGAACGGGAUCCAAAUCUCUGAUGCCAUGAACCCCUCCUAAAUAGGAUAAUCCUGAUGAAAUGGGUCCGCAGACCCAGUUUGAAAUGUGUCAACAACAACAAAAUAUGAUCAAUAUGGUAAGUUCAUAAUUUUAA